Molecule: ribosomal RNA, 308 nt
Filed under: Peronia verruculata
Lineage: Eukaryota; Metazoa; Mollusca; Gastropoda; Systellommatophora; Onchidiidae
Description: partial large subunit ribosomal RNA
Source: RNAcentral
GGAGUCGAGUAUGAAUGGGUCUACGGAAACAAGCUGUCUCUUUUUGGUUAUAUUGAAGUUUCUUUAAGGGUGCAAAGUCCCUUGAUUAGAAAAAAGACGAGAAGACCCUUAGAGUUUUUAUUAAAGAUAAGAAUUUAUUUAAGUUUUUGCUGGGGCGGCAAAGAGACAAAGCAAUUAAACUCUCUUUUUAUUGUUUUUAGAAGACGAAGAUGUUAAGAAUCAUUAAACUACCUUAGGGAUAACAGCAUAAUUAAAUUUUAGUUUGUGACCUCGAUGUUGGACUAGGAAGGCUUUUGACCAGCAGUCAA